Molecule: ribosomal RNA, 295 nt
Filed under: uncultured bacterium
Lineage: Bacteria
Description: partial 16S ribosomal RNA
Rfam family: Bacterial small subunit ribosomal RNA
Source: RNAcentral
GACACAGGUGGUGCAUGGCUGUUGUCAGCUCGUGUCGUGAGAUGUUGGGGUAAGUCCCGCAACGAGCGCCACCCUUGUUCUUAGUUGCCAGCACGUAAUGGUGGGCACUAUAAGGAGACUGCCGGUGAAAAACCGGAGGAAGGUGGGGAUGACGUCAAGUCAUCAUGGCCCUUAUGGCCAGGGCUUCACACGUGCUACAAUGGUCGGUACAAAGGGUUGCCAAGCCGCGAGGGGGAGCUAAUCCCAAAAAACCGGUCUCAGUUCGGAUUGGCGUUGCAACUUGACUCCAUGAAGU